Molecule: non-coding RNA, 28 nt
Filed under: Bombyx mori (domestic silkworm)
Lineage: Eukaryota; Metazoa; Arthropoda; Insecta; Lepidoptera; Bombycidae
Source: RNAcentral
UGGAAAGUGCUCUAAACGAUAUCCACGG